CCUACGGGAGGCAGCAGUGGGGAAUAUUGGACAAUGGGGGCAACCCUGAUCCAGCCAUGCCGCGUGUGUGGAGAAGGCCCUCGGGUUGUAAAGCACUUUCAGUGAGGAAGAACGCCUGGUGGUUAAUACCCAUCAGGAAAGACAUCACUCACAGAAGAAGCACCGGCUAACUCCGUGCCAGCAGCCGCGGUAAUACGGAGGGUGCGAGCGUUAAUCGGAAUUACUGGGCGUAAAGCGCGCGUAGGUGGCUUGAUAAGCCGGUUGUGAAAGCCCCGGGCUCAACCUGGGAACGGCAUCCGGAACUGUCAAGCUAGAGUGCAGGAGAGGAAGGUAGAAUUCCCGGUGUAGCGGUGAAAUGCGUAGAGAUCGGGAGGAAUACCAGUGGCGAAGGCGGCCUUCUGGACUGACACUGACACUGAGGUGCGAAAGCGUGGGUAGCAAACAGGAUUAGAUACCCUAGUAGUC
This 465-nucleotide ribosomal RNA is filed under the name Vreelandella stevensii. RNAcentral's name for it is "partial 16S ribosomal RNA". It matches the Rfam family "Bacterial small subunit ribosomal RNA", at positions 338 to 795 of the family's 1533-position model. The record is from RNAcentral. Lineage: Bacteria; Pseudomonadati; Pseudomonadota; Gammaproteobacteria; Oceanospirillales; Halomonadaceae.